Molecule: non-coding RNA, 306 nt
Organism: Vicia faba (fava bean)
Lineage: Eukaryota; Viridiplantae; Streptophyta; Magnoliopsida; Fabales; Fabaceae
Source: the annotation of a GenBank genome assembly
AUGGAUUCGGUGCAGGGAUUCCUGCUUGUGCUCUUUCUUUGUGGCAUUAUCGGGUUUAAAGACCAGGCACUCUAUAUGUGUUUCGGUAUUGAUCUGAGCACUCGUGUAACUACUAAUAAAGCUCGAGGGGCCUUUCUUUCAGAUACUGGUUUGACUUAUCUUGGUCAGGAAGUAACCCGUGGGUAUCUUCUAUUUAUUAACAAACUGGGAAUCAGAGCUCUUCCAGAUCUUCGGAAUGACGAAAGCCUUUCUCUUUGGGGACCGGUGUUUGCUAUAGUAAUGUAUGGCACUCACUCUGGAAAGUAG